RNAcentral lists this long non-coding RNA (7833 nucleotides) under Homo sapiens (human). RNAcentral's name for it is "non-protein coding lnc-PGS1-2:3". The record is from RNAcentral. Lineage: Eukaryota; Metazoa; Chordata; Mammalia; Primates; Hominidae.
AGUCACAGAGCAGGCAGCUUUCCCGAAAAUAAAAUGAGAAUCCCCAGGAAACAGGGAAAAUGGAAGGCGGGCGGUGAGUCAGCACGUGCUGCCCCCCGGGGCUCCAGUUUCCAAAAGGGCCUCCUGCCCUGCUCCUCCUCCUCCUCCUGGGUCUCUCUCUUUCUCUUUUACUUUUCCUCUGGUCCCCUGUUGACUUUUUCCCUCACCGAACUCACUGAAUCUCAGUCCUCACACACGCGCACCCACUCACUUCCUGCCCCUUAUCGUUUCCCUCCCUGCAUCUGUCUGUCUGUCCAGCCUCGAUCUGUGCACCCACUGGCUCCUUUGGUGUUUACAGAGCACCUACCAAGUCCAGGCACUGUGCACCACGGGAGGGAGUGGGGAGGCAGAGAAGGCCUAGGUCUCUCCUCCCAGAGCCCUUUCUUGUUGGAAAAGGAGACUUGUGCCGGGAUGUGGCCAGCCACGGCCGCGCCUGGGUCCCCUUCCCCAGCCCCUGCUCCUGUGGUUGGUUCCCCCGGAUGGACAGAGCUGGGCCCCCAACAGAGAACGAUGCUUGAGGAUCCCAUUCCAAGCCAAUGCCGUCUCUGCCUCCCUCCCGGCUCGGAGCACAAGGCCUGCACGCUGAGGGCGAGUGCGUGGUGGAGCAGGAGCUUCGGGGCGGUGUUUCUCACCCAGCCAUGUCUCCCCUGCCCAGAACCGGGCAUCAAGGGGAGUGAACUGCGGGCUGUUUUGAAUUUGAGGGACAAGCUUGGUUGUCCCUUGUUCCCUGCCUCCCCAUUCCAAGCCUCCUGUGGCAGAAGGAGGCCAGGCCAUAUCUUGAGGGAGGAUUCUGGGCGUGCCUGCUUCACCCCAACAGCCCAAGGUCAGGGGAGGGGCUCCAGGCCGCAGGGGGUACAGCAAGGGGAAGCCACUCAGGCCCCUUCCCAUCUGGACAAGUCCCUGAGUGCCAGGGCCCUUUGACUCUCUCCUGUCUCCCUCCUCCCCCAUCUCCCAGCUAGAAUCCAGGCUCUCCCACCACCCUCUGGGACCCCUGGGGCCGCUCACUUUCCAGACCCCUCUAAUUCGGGCACUGGCCCCUCAGGAGCCGGGGAGGUGGCCCUGUGCCUGGGUCAUGGGGCUGGGCUGGGGUCUCCUGCCUCUCGGGUCACUGUCCAAUCUCUGUCUGCAGCUCUCGAUGAAUAAUUUAGUUGUUCGAAUUACAGGAAAGAGCUAUUUAGCUUCCCUUCCCAAAUCGUUAAGAGCUGAUGAUACAAGACGUCUUGGUUCCUUCUAAGGAAAGUCCCUUUCCCAGUGAAACUGAGCCUUGUGGGCGGGGAUUUCUCCCCCUCCAACUCCCUCACCAAUCAUUAACCAAUAUCCGACAGUAAUAGGGUUUUUUCUUUUUUCUUUUUUUUUUUUAAGCUCAGCUAUAUAUAUUCUAAAGUAUAUGUCAGUUCUUGGGAGCAGGGAAGUAUAACUGAUCUGAAGGGUGGGGUGGGGGUUCUGCUCUGGAAGGAGCCUUGGGUGAGCUAAUGGUGACCCCAAGUCAUAAUUGCAGGUCCCUGGAGGGGAUUUAAGAUAUAGGAAGUAGCACUUCGCAAGCCUGAGAGGAAGAAGCAUGGGGUGUAAAACUGUUCAGGUGGUUCAAGAGUGCGUGUGCGUGUGUGCAUGUGAGUGUGCAUGUGUGUGUGAGAAUGUGAAUAUGCACAUGUAUGCGUGUGCACGAGGGCGCACACGUGUAUGCACAGAUGCACACGCAUACCUGUGUGAUUGUGCAUGUGUGCGCUGUGCAUGUACAUAUGUGCGUAUGUGUGCACGUGUGUGAGUGUGUACGUGUUUAUAGGAGCAUGACUGCCUGAGCGGCAUGGCUGGAAUGUGUGGACCGGGACCAGGUGGGGGUUUGCAGUGCAGGGACAGCACUUCUUGUUUUCAGAGCUGGGAGAGUUGGGGUGGGGAAUCUGGGUAGGGCUGGCCUCCCAGUCAGGUGACUUGCAGGCAGGGAGGGGAGGGGCUUUAGGAAGUUCAGAGAGUGGGAGGGAGGAACAGGGAAGGGCAAGGGUGGGGACCUUGGCUGGAAGGUUCAAUGCAAAGUGAGGCGACAUCCAGGAUUGAGCAUUCUGGAUCCUAGACCCAGGGAUGGCUGGGAGGUGGGGCUCCCCUGGGUGAAGGAGCCAGGUGGGUGUGUGAGCCAAGAGUUAGCUGUGGCUGCCAGAGGAGGGGGCUGGAGACGAGGCUGCCAGCCUCAGCCUGGCUGAAGAGGACCUCCCAGCACCAGGCCAGGGGAAGGUGGACAGGUAGGGAGAGAAAAAGGAGGGAAGGAAUGAGGACUGAGCUAGCAGGUCCCACACUUUGCAGGUGUGGUGAGGAGGAGAGAGGGAAGAAGGGGGACCCUCUGCAGUCCUGGCUGGCAGGAAGCUUGGCCUGUGCUCUGGCAAGCACACCCUGCCCUGCUGGACUCACUGGAGGAGUCUGUUCUCUGUGUGCCCGGCAGAGGGAUAGACACGCAUUUCCCACGACGUCACCCACCCCAGAACCACUUAGCCUGCAGCCUCCCCCAGAUUCCCUGACUUCCCACCUGAGCAAGCCCAGCUGGCCUCCCGCAUCCACUCAGGUGCCCUCCGUGUGUUGUCUUCCGGACAGGGGCACCCAACACAGGUGCAAGCAGUGCGUGCUAGGGCCGGAGAGGAGGACAGUGGAGGCUGCUCCCAGCCUCCUUUUUCUUCCGUACUCCCACCAGCACCUCCACCCCACCUCUGAAACUCCACCCCAAUUCUGGGGAGUGUGGAGAUGACUGAGGAAGGGGGGAUAUUUCCAGAGCCACUCCAACUGGUCCCAGAUGCAUCAGAGGGUGACCCUGGGAGGCCAGUCCUUAGGCAGCUGCCUAAGGACCCGACUCUGGAAGGGAACUCAGAGACAAAUGAGGAGCAGACCAGCCCCAGCUCCGGGUUUGCAGAUCUGGGCAGAGUGAGGAAAAGGCCGGGAAAGAAAAACCAACCCCCGGAAUCUAUCUCAGAGAAGCAUCCGUCCAGGUAGAGAGGGACCCCAGCCCGACCGCCACCCUCACCCAGGGGAGAAGCCUAGCAGCUCCCUCUGGGUUGGGUGUGCAUGUGUCAUCCCACCAAAGUGUGCUGGGAUUGGAAUGGGCACGACCUUCCCCCAGAGAGAUCGCCUGGGCAGCCCCGUAAGUGUCCAGGGGUCCCCUGAGAGCAUUCUAUGGUCCCAGCCUCCCACAGGAGCCCCAACAAUGCUCUCUGGCUCCUCAUCCUCCUUGGUGGCAGCUCCUCUCCCCACCAAAGGGCCAUGUGGGUCCCAGCUGUGACCUCAGCACCCCUCAGCCAGAUGUGGACCCGCCCCAGACUCCAUCACUCUCUCUGCUCUCUUCACAGAAGAGAGGUGGAGGGAGGACCCCACGGGCCUCGCUGGUGGCAGGCGGUGGGGAUGUAGCGGGGGAGUGUGUGGGGGGGGUUAGAGUUAGGACAGCAGCCCCUCCCCAAACCCCGAUCCCUGAGCCCCAAGCCUGUCUUGGCUCCAUGGGGCAAGGGAGGGGUAGUCAAGCCCCACAGAAGAGAGGCAUCCCCCAGUUUCCAUGGAGAAGGAUCGGGGUGUCCUGAUUUGGAGGCUUCCAUGCUGUCUGCUGCUCCCUGUGGAUACACAGUUGGGGCGCUCUCUGUUCCUCCCUAGUCCCUUCUCUCCUCCCUGCUUGCCUGGGAGGCUUGGGCAGGAGGGCACCUGGAUGGUGGCCACUAGACAGAGCCCACCCCCCGCCGCUUGACCUCUGCCCUCUCCUGGGUGGGAAUGGCAGGGCCCUCUUUGGUGUCAGGAGCUGGUGGCCUCUGUGGCCUCUGUCCCGCCCGCUCCCAACACCUGCCUUCCCUUCUCUGCUCCAGCUGCAGUCGGCUUCUGCCAAUGCCCAGAACCUUGUAGUCUUUUGCCCGCUGGUUUUGCAUGUGCUUCCCCUAGGCCAGAGGGCAGCAAACUUUCUCUGAAAAGGGCCAGGUAGUAAAUAUUUCAGCCUCUGCUUAGUGAGGAAGCAGCCAUGGACCACUCACGAACAAGUGAGUAUGGCUGUGUUCCAACACAACUGCGUACGCACACUGCAACUUGAAUUCCGUGUGAUUUUCACAUCAUGAAAUAUUCUUUUUUCUUUUGCUUGGUUUUUCAACCACUUAAAAAUGUAAAAACCAGCCAGGCACAGUGGUUUACGUCUGUAAUCCCAGCACUUUGGGAGGCCAAGGCGGGAGGAUCACUUGAGCCCAGGAGUUCAAGAUCAGCCUGGGAAACACAGUGGGAUUCCGUCUUUACAAAAAAUGAAGAAAUUAGUCAGGCAUGGUGGUGCACACCUGUGGUCCAAGCUAGUCAAGGAGGCUGAGGCAAGAGGACCCCUUGAGCCCAGGAGGUCAAGGCAGCAGUGAGCCAUGAUCACACCACUGCGCUGCAGCCUGGGCAACAGAGCGGGAACCUGUCUCAAAAAAAUAAUUAAAAUUAAAAUUAAAACAUGUAGGCCGAGUGCGGUGGCUCACACCUGUAAUCCCAGCACUUUGGGAGGCCGGGAUGGGCAGAUCAUUUGAGGCCAGGAGUUCGAGACCAGUCUGGCCAACAUGGUGAAACCCUGUCUCUACUAAAAAUAGAAAAAAAAUUAGCCAGAUGUGGUGGCACACGCCUAUAGUCCCAGCUACUUGGGAGACUGAGGCAUGAGAAUCACUUGGACUCAGAGGCAGAGGUUGCAGUCAGCUGAGAUCGCACCACUGCACUCCAGCCUGGGCAACAGAGUGAGACCCUGUCUCAAAAAAAAAAAAGAAACUAAAACGUGUAAAAACCAUUUUUUUUUUAGUGGAAUCUUGCUCUGUUGCCCAGGCUGGCGUGCAGUGGCACAGUCUCGGCUCACCACAACUUCCACCUCCCGGGGUCAAGCCAUUCUCCUGCCUCAGCCUCAGCCUCCCGAGUAGCUGGGAUUACAGGCACGCACCACGAUGCCGGGCUAAUUUUUAUAUUUUUGAAUAGAGAUGGGGUUUCACCAUGUUGGCCAGGCUGGUUUUGAACUCCUGACCUCGUGAUCCACCCACCUCGGCCUCCCAAAGUGCUGGGAUUACAGGUGUAAGCCACCGCGCCAGGCCUGUAAAAACCAUUUUUUGCGGGCUGAACAAAAACAGGCAGCACGUUGGAUUUAGCCUGGGGGCAGUGGUGGAGGUUUGCUGACCCCUGUACUAGGCUGCUCCAUUGGGGAACUCUCUCAAGGUUCAGCGGAAGCCUCCCUUCCCGGACCAGGUGAGAUGCCCCAUAAGACCUGUACUGCCUCUCUUCUGGCAGGCCGCCUAGCACCCUAGGUGCUCAACAACAGUUUGUUUUGUUUUGAGACAGGGUCUCACUCCGUCACCCAGGCUGGAGUGACAGACCACGUCUUACUGCAGCCUUGACCUCCCAGGCCCAAGCAAUCCUCCGGCCCUAGCCUCCCAAGUAGCUGGGACUACAGGCAGGCACCACCACACCUGGCAAAUUUUUUCUAUGUUUUCUUUUUUUUUUUUUUUCUGAGACAGUGUCUUGCUCUGUCACCCAGGCUGGAGUGCAGUGGCGUGAUCUCGGCUCACCGCAACCUCCCCCUCCCAGUUUCAAGCAAUUCUCCUGCCUCAGCCUCCCAAGUAGCUGGGAUUACAGGCACGAGCCACCAUGCCUAGCUAAUUUUUGUAUUUUUGGUAGAGACGGGGUUUCACCAUUUUGGUCUGGCUGGUCUCAAACUCCUGACCUCAAGUGAUCCACCCGCCUCGGCCUCCCAAAAUGCUGGGAUUACAGGCGUGAGCCACUGUGCCCAGCCCUUAUUUUUUCUAUUUUUUACAGAGAUGAGGUCUCACUUGUUGCCCAGGAUGGUCUUGAACUCCUGGGCUCAAGCAAUCCUCCUGCCUCAGCCUCCCGAAGUUCUGGGAUUGCAGGUGUGAGCCACUGCACCUGGCCUACUAGUUUGUUGAUUAAAGGUGCUUCCUACACAUUGUCUCCUUUGAUCUUCACAAUGUCUGAGCAAAGCAUAGCAAUUAUCCCCAUCCCUGUUUUUGUUUUGUUUUGUUUUGUUUUGUUUGAGACAGAGUCUCGCUCUGUUGUCCAGGCUGGAGUGCACUGGCACCAUCUCAGCUCACUGCAACCUCCGCCUCCCAAUUCUCCUGCCCCAGCCUCCUGAGUAGCUGGGACUACAGGAGUGCACCACCACGCCUGGCUAAUUUUUCUGUUUUUAGUAGAGACGGUUUCACUGUGUUGGCCAGGCUGGUCUCGAACUCCUAACCUCAGGUGAUCCACCCACCUUGGCCUCCCAAAGUGCUGAGAUUUCAGGCGUGAGCCCCCACACCAGGCAUAUUAUUCCCAUUUUUUAAAUUUAUUUUUAUUUAUUUAUUUAUUUUGAGAUGGAGUCUUGCUCUGUUGCCCAGGCUGGAGUGCAGUGUCGUGAUCACGGCUCACUGCAAGCUCUGCCUCCUGGGUUCAAGUGAUUCUCCUGCCUCAGCCUCCAAAGUAGCUGGGACUAUAGGCGCCUGCCACCACGCCCGGCUAAUUUUUUGUAUUUUUUUUAGUAGAGACGGGGUUUCACCAUGUUAGCCAGGAUGGUCUCGAUCUCCUGACCUUGUGAUCCGCCAACCUCGGUCUCCCAAAGUGCUGGGAUUACAGGCAUGAGCCACCGUGCCCGGCCUAUUAUUCCCAUUUUAUAGACAAGGUAGUUGAAGUCUAGAGAGGUUAAGCAACUUGUCCAAUGUCACCCCGCUGGCUGAGGCAGAGGCACAAAGGGAGUCCGCACACUGUUUUCCGGGCAGCUGGGCAGCUGGAGAGCCUGGCCUCUGUCCACUGGUCCAGGGCUUUAGGGGAUGAGACCGGGCUGUUCCAGGGGUCCAGGGAGCCCAGCCUGCCUCCAUCCCUGGUCUCAGGCUUGCUUGGGAACUGACGGGGGUGCUCCUUGACCUCCAUCCACCGAAAGGCCCCUGCCCUUCUGUGGAGCAGCAUUCUUUACGAGUCAUUUCUAGGACUGGGCUUAUGACUCCUGGUCUUCAGGGAUUGAGUCCUGCCUUCUCAGUCAUCCCAGGUCAGGGCUAGAGUUAGUGACUCUGAUUCUGUAGUCCCUGGCCCACCCUUCCUGAGCCUUCCUUUGGAGCCAUCACUUAGCCCAGCUGGGGCCAGUAACUGCUCUCUCCCCUGCCCCACCCCCAGCUGUGGACAUGUCCCCAUGGUCUCAGCCUCUUCUCAGCCCUGCUCCACUCAGCCUCCAGCCAGACCAUCUCUGCCAGGCCUUCAUCUCCCCAUGCGUCAGAGGAGGAUGACUGCCCGGCACCCUCCCACUCCCAGCGUCAGCCUGGGAAUUGGGGCGUGCUCCUGGGCUGGGCCUGAUGUACACGGUGUGCAGCUGUGGGCUCCCUCCCAAUCACGGGGUAUCUCAGGAGGUUUCUGAGGUUGGGGAUGGGGGUGGCCCUCUCCUUUGGAUUUGAGGCAGUGGCCCCAGGACCAGCGGGGUCACUCGGCUCAGCACUCCCUUCCAGUUCUUUCCCACAGAACAUCCUGGCUUCAGGGAUUCCCAUCACGCGGCCAGAGUUCAUCGGAAGUCCCCCUCCCUCAUCCCCUGGAGGGAGGAAACAGACCAGGUCAUCUGGCUGAGCGGGAGGAGAAGGCUCGGGUUCUGGGGAGGGGAGCCUGGGUGCGGCAGGGUCCAGGGACAGUUGGCAUGGGCGUAAGUGCAGGUAUAGAAUUCCACAUAGGGCCUCACAGCUUUGGGGGCCAUGAGAUGACAGCGUCACCAAUAUCAGUGAUCAUCACCUCCCAUCCAGAGGCCGAAGAAGCAGGGCCCUGCCACAGGCAGCCAGGCUGGCUCUGCUGGGGGAACAGGCAGAA